Molecule: non-coding RNA, 92 nt
Organism: Mycena metata
Lineage: Eukaryota; Fungi; Basidiomycota; Agaricomycetes; Agaricales; Mycenaceae
Source: the annotation of a GenBank genome assembly
UCGGACGUGGUGCACGGCGCACACCCGCUCUCCCUACAAGGUUAGGUUGGAAGGUACAGUGGGAGCGCCGGGUUCGAUUCCCGGCGUCUGAA